AUCAACGUGUGUUAAAAACUCCAGACAUUCCUCACAUUUCUGUCCAGCAAAUUAAUUUAAUCAACUUAAAUUAAAGUCAAUUCAUUCCUCAAACCGUAAUAUUCAUCCUUCAUCCAUCACCUUCAAGCAUUCGCAAACUUAUCAAGCCAACAACGAUAUUUCUCGAGUUGAAUAGAAUUAUGGAACCUCAACGAGAAAGAAGUGUGCAAGAGGUCGCACUAAACAAUCCGAUUAUUUUGACAGAAAUUCUGAAACAGAGCUCCGCCCCGUUGAAAAGUUGUCGACUAGUUUCCCACUUUUGGAACGAAAUGGUCCUCUCCCUUCGGAACACGAGACUCGCCUUAAACCUGAACACAAAGGAUGAAGAGGUUGAAACCUACCCCCUUCCAUUCUUGGCCUUUUUCGACCUCUGCUCCAAAUUCGACGCCCGACUUGCGAAACGCGUCACUGGCAAGACGUCGAAUUGCACCGAGGAAACCUACCCCUUAGCCGGGAAGCUAAGUCAUCUCUGUAUCAGCUUUAGUGAUCGGGUCGAAAUUUUGGACAUGCGUAUCAAUUACGAAGAUUGUUUAAAAUCCAUUUCCUUAGUUUUUAGAAAUUCUCUCCCGAAUUUGAAACAAUUACGGAUCAGGUUCGCCUUCUUUGACGACAACGAAGAAUAUGAUUAUGUUCCCAAGCGAGAAAUUUUUGUGACGCCACUUCCAGAAAAGCCAAAUUUGACAGUGUUCAACCUCAAGUCAGAAGUGGUGGCGGCGUCGCCGAUUUUGACCAGUUUUGCUCAGCUGGUCGUCAACGCGUCGCCUAAUUUGAGAGAGGCCACCCUUCCCUGGGGAUUCUAUCCGGAUUUGGAAAGGUCGAAAUUUCUGGACACCUUAACCCUCGAACUGGACGACGCUCGAGGACUUGACGUCGCUUUGAAACAGCUUAAUCCGUCCGAACUGACACGUAUGCUGGAUCAAGUCGGCGGUCAACUCCUGCACCUGUCCUUUUCCUAUUCCACCUUCCACUACGGAAAGAGUAUGACGGAGGACUACCAUGUCGUCGAUAACUCGACCCCACCCGGAUUCCGUUUGCUGAGAAAGAUGCCGAAACUGCGAAAGUUCGAUAACGAAAUGAUCGACAUUAUUCAGCAUUCCGAUCUCUGGCAAGAUAUCGGACGAAUGCCCGCUCUCAAAUCGCUCAGAAUUGGAAAAAUUUGGAAAGACUCAACUAGUGUGGAUACAAGUUUGAAAAAUCUCUUUGAAAAACAACACAUUUUCACAAACGUGGCGGAUUUGAGGAUUCACGAGCUGCACGAUCCCAGACUUUUGGACGGAUUGAAGACGGCGUUUCCUAACUUGCAGAAGUUGUGGUUGGACAACAAGGAGGCCGGGAUGGAGUUGGGCGUGGUGCUCAAGGCGUGUGUGGGUUGGGGCGGGCUGAAUCAUUUGCAUAUUGGGCUGCCGACUUAUGCCAAGAAAAUGUGGGAUAUCGUUAAGGCUUUGUUAGACUGCGCUGAAUUGUACAAAGACCUGAAAAGUUUAGAAAUCGAGACGCACAGUUGGGAUUUGACGUGGCAUGAUUUAACCGAGACUGAGCUGCAUGUUUUUAAGGAGGCGCUGUAUUCGAUGAAAGGGAUGGAUCGGGUCGUCAUUCGUGAUCUUUAUUUUGGUGAUGAAUCCCGGAGAAAUAUAUUGGAUGUUAUGGCGUCAAACGAAAUGCCCAUGUGGAAAUUUAAAGUGGUGCAAGAGUAGUGAAGCCUCGACGUAAAAACGACUUCCGUGUAGUAACUUUUUACGCCAGAUUUGUAAAAGUUCAUGUCUAAAAAUAUUGCUAAUAACCUGACAACUUUUAUGUACAAAUUACGCAAAGAAGUUAUUAAGCACCUGCUUAAUAUCAGUAAAUACGACGAACUUUUACAAUUUCAAUGUAUCUACAACGUUAUAAAUUUAAUUAAGCA
Folsomia candida is the source of this 1939-nucleotide RNA transcript. RefSeq lists it as uncharacterized. The record is from RefSeq and is a predicted model, not a curated record. The transcript is spliced from 6 exons. Lineage: Eukaryota; Metazoa; Arthropoda; Collembola; Entomobryomorpha; Isotomidae.